RNAcentral lists this ribosomal RNA (666 nucleotides) under Gelyelloida sp. DZMB667. RNAcentral describes it as "partial 18S ribosomal RNA". The record is from RNAcentral. Lineage: Eukaryota; Metazoa; Arthropoda; Copepoda; Gelyelloida.
AGAUAUUGGAACUUUAUAUUUAAUUGUUGGCUCAUGGUCAGGGAUAAUCGGUGCUGGGUUGAGGACAAUUAUUCGUUUACAAUUAGGGCAACCUGGGUUAUUACUGGAUAAUGACCAAAUUUUUAAUGUUGUCGUUACAGCUCAUGCAUUUAUUAUAAUUUUCUUUAUAGUAAUACCCAUUUUAAUUGGGGGAUUUGGCAAUUGGUUAGUCCCCCUCAUAUUAGGUGCCCCUGAUAUGGCAUUCCCGCGUUUAAAUAAUAUAAGGUUUUGGUUUCUUGUCCCAGCCUUAGUCCUUUUAUUAUUAAGUUCAAUAGUGGAAAGGGGGGCAGGGACAGGUUGAACUGUGUACCCCCCACUAGCUGGCUCUAUUGCUCAUUCAGGGGCUGCUGUUGAUUUAGCAAUUUUUUCAUUACAUCUGGCAGGGGUCUCAUCGUUGAUAGGGGCUGUAAACUUUAUUAGAACUUUAGGUAAUAUACGGACUUUGGGGAUAUUAGUUGACCGAACUCCAUUAUUUGCUUGAGCUGUUUUAUUAACAACUAUUUUACUUUUGUUAUCUCUCCCCGUUUUAGCUGGGGCUAUUACUAUACUUUUAACAGAUCGUAAUUUAAAUACUUCUUUUUAUGAUGUUGGAGGGGGAGGGGACCCAGUUUUAUACCAACAUUUGUU